Molecule: ribosomal RNA, 450 nt
Filed under: uncultured Scutellospora
Lineage: Eukaryota; Fungi; Glomeromycota; Glomeromycetes; Diversisporales; Gigasporaceae
Description: SSU rRNA
Rfam family: Eukaryotic small subunit ribosomal RNA
Source: RNAcentral
AGCAGCCGCGGUAAUUCCAGCUCCAAUAGCGUAUAUUAAAGUUGUUGCAGUUAAAAAGCUCAUAGUUGAAUUUCGGGGUUCUACCGUCGGUCGGGCUACCAAGUCUGUACUGGUGUGUAGAAUUUCUACCUUCUGGGGAACCAUCAUGUUAUUAAUUUAGCGUGGUGGGAAACCAGGACCUUUACCUUGAAAAAAUUAGAGUGUUCAAAGCAGGCUUAUGUCUGAAUACAUUAGCAUGGAAUAAUAGAAUAGGACGGUGGUCCUGUUUUGUUGGUUUCUGAAUCACCGUAAUGAUUAAUAGGGAUAGUUGGGGGCAUUAGUAUUCAAUUGUCAGAGGUGAAAUUCUUGGAUUUAUUGAAGACUAACUUCUGCGAAAGCAUUUGCCAAGGAUGUUUUCAUUAAUCAAGAACGAAAGUUAGGGGAUCGAAGACGAUCAGAUACCGUCGUAGU